RNAcentral lists this transfer RNA (72 nucleotides) under Camelus bactrianus (Bactrian camel). It matches the Rfam family "tRNA". From Rfam's summary of the family: Transfer RNA (tRNA) molecules are approximately 80 nucleotides in length. Their secondary structure includes four short double-helical elements and three loops (D, anti-codon, and T loops). The record is from Rfam by way of RNAcentral. RNAcentral also lists the same sequence under 2 other names. Lineage: Eukaryota; Metazoa; Chordata; Mammalia; Artiodactyla; Camelidae.
GAGGGUGUAGCUCAGUGGUAGAGAGCAUGCUCAGAAUACACAACAUCCUGGGUUCAAUCCCCAGUACCUCUG